GACGAACGCUGGCGGCGUGCUUAACACAUGCAAGUCGAACGGAAAGGCCCUGCUUUUGUGGGGUGCUCGAGUGGCGAACGGGUGAGUAACACGUGAGUAACCUGCCCUUGACUUUGGGAUAACUUCAGGAAACUGGGGCUAAUACCGGAUAGGAGCUCCUGCUGCAUGGUGGGGGUUGGAAAGUUUCGGCGGUUGGGGAUGGACUGGCGGCUUAUCAGCUUGUUGGUGGGGUAGUGGCUUACCAAGGCUUCGACGGGUAGCCGGCCUGGGAGGGUGACCGGCCACAUUGGGACUGAGAUACGGCCCAGACUCCUACGGGAGGCAGCAGUGGGGAAUAUUGCACAAUGGGCGGAAGCCUGAUGCAGCAACGCCGCGUGCGGGAUGACGGCCUUCGGGUUGUAAACCGCUUUCGCCUGUGACGAAGCGUGAGUGACGGUAAUGGGUAAAGAAGCACCGGCUAACUACGUG
RNAcentral lists this ribosomal RNA (468 nucleotides) under uncultured bacterium. Its description in RNAcentral is "partial 16S ribosomal RNA". It matches the Rfam family "Bacterial small subunit ribosomal RNA", at positions 28 to 507 of the family's 1533-position model. The record is from RNAcentral.